Small nucleolar RNA from Chelonoidis abingdonii (Abingdon island giant tortoise), 197 nucleotides. RefSeq annotates it as small nucleolar RNA U3. The record is from RefSeq and is a predicted model, not a curated record. NCBI's taxonomy places the organism in Eukaryota, Metazoa, Chordata, Testudines, Testudinidae.
UGAUACUUUCUUUAGUUGGUGAUUGGAGAAGGGUGGUUGUGAAAAGCUGAUCUUGCUAGCUAUAAUGAAGGGCUGUAGUGUUUCCUUCUAAGCAUGAAAAUAGCAGAAAAUACUGUUCUGUGACAGCUGCUUUCUGAAUAGAAGAAUGUCUUGUUCUUCCUGAGAAGAGCAGGGAAAGGAUACACAGUCUGAAUGGU